CCCCCGGGGCGGACAGAGGUCACCCAGCCCUUCGCUGUGCGACGGUGUCAUGCAAACCCUGUCUGUGGGGCGGUUUUCCAGCCUCCGCUCUGCCACCUUCACCCUUUGCUCUGCCCUUCCUUGGACGCCGGCCGGGAGGGGCCUGGGAGCCCCCGCGCUCGGACUUGCUUCGGAAACGCGCGGCGCCCUACUUCUCCUCGGGGACCGCGGGUCGCUCCCUACCGCCGCAUUCGGGAGGUCCAGCCAGACUUCUCUCGAGAGCGCCGUUCUUAUCUGUCAGCUCUGAAGGAAGGGGCAACCCACACCUGUUUAGGAGAAACGCCUCACUGUCUCUAUAGAAGCUGAAAUCCAUCAAUCUUCGUUCUUCAAAAUGCAAUGGAAUGUACCAAAGACUGUAUUCCGACUGGCACAUAGGACAUGCAUGGAACCAGAUAAAGCUGGUCUUUUGGGACACUGUCAAAACAUGAAGGGACCAUUACUUUUGUAUACCUUGGAAUCCAGAGUGGUUUGGGUACAGGGCCCUCAGAAACGAUGGCUGCACUUACCUGCUGCCCAGUGUGUUGCAAAGGAAAGGAAGCCAUUCAUUGCUCACCCACCCCAACCAGGGGUCCAUAAACAGUGGGAGCAGGAUAUCUUAUCCAAGAGGGUUCUGUCAUCCAGUGCUACAUCCCCAGGAACUCCCUCUGAAAAAAAGGAAGAACCUGAUCCUUUACAAGACAGAUCAAUUAGUCUUUAUCAACGAUUUAAGAAAACAUUUAGACAAUAUGGAAAAGUUUUGAUUCCAGUGCAUCUAAUAACUUCUGGUGUUUGGUUUGGAACGUUUUAUUAUGCAGCCAUAAAAGGAGUGAAUGUCGUUCCUUUUCUAGAACUUAUUGGGUUACCUGACAGCGUAGUAAACAUUCUGAAAAAUUCCCAGAGUGGAAAUGCACUAACAGCAUAUGCCCUGUUUAAGAUUGCAACGCCCGCGCGGUACACUGUGACCCUGGGGGGGACCUCCUUCACUGUGAGGUAUCUGCGCAGCCGUGGCUACAUGUCGACGCCACCUCCUGUGAAGGAGUAUCUGCAGGACAGGAUGGAGGAGACAAAGGAGCUCCUCACAGAGAAGAUGGAGGAGACAAAGGACAGACUCACUGAAAAACUGCAAGAAACCAAAGGAAAGGUUUCUUUUAAGAAAAAAGUGGAAUAGGGUGCCUUAUAUACCAGAUUAUAGACAGUUCCUGCACUUUAACCCUUGGGGACUAUGGACAAAGAUUAGAAUAUUUGAAGAUAAAUGCAGAGGUCACCGUCAGCCACUAAAGACAGAGCUCUCUCACCCCAGCACCUCACACACACUGAGGACAGCGCUGCUCACAAGGCGUCCCUCCCUGCACACCAGCCUCAAGGCAGGAGCAGCAAGUGGCCGUCUAACCCUGGCCGUGAACAUAAAAUCCUGAUACCUGUGGAAUUCGCACAAUUCAGCAGACCUCAAGCAGCAGCCUUGGCACAGCGAACACAAGGCUUAGAGAGCAGCCCCUAGCCGCUGCCUCGCAGCCAGACCAGUGUGGGAGCCUGGUGGCUAGCAGCAAAUGGAAGCUGCUUUGGAGGGGCUCGUGGACCCGGACAGUCUCUGCAAGGACUCUCUGGACAGAAGAGCAGGUGGAGAGAUUGACUACUUGUGUGGAUGUUACUGUCUGAAAUGGAUGAAGAUUCCAAUUCUCCAAACAAAACCCAGGGACCUACCAACCAAGAGGAACCUCGGAAAGGAGCAGCAGAAAGCAGUUUGAGAGCUUUCUGCCAGCAGCACGAGGGCACCUCACCGGGCAGCCACCUCCGAGACCACGAUAGCAGACACCCGGAACUGCAGAAACUGCACUGCUGGAGGACCAGGGCAGCACUGCGUGGUGUGUAAAUGCAGGUGUAAAACAUGCAGCCUGAGGCUGGAGGGACUCAACACACCAGGGAUGCAGGAGUUUACUCCAUCCAGAGUCUCCAGGUGCCUCAGUGACGCAUUCACUACUGUGUGGUGACUUUCUUGGUGAAUGUAAGUAAGUGACGUACGUUAGGCUACCUCCCCAAACACCCUUUCCUGCAUGAUUAUGGGGGAGAUGAUUAUGGGGCCUAAUUAUAAUCCACAGGUGAAAAGACAACAUACAGAACUUCGCGUAAAGCUUCCUCAUUAUCUUAAACAUGAAGAUAGUGCAACUUUUAAAACACAGCAUCACAACACUGAUUAACCCCUUGCAUUCAUCUGACUUCUCCACUUUAUACCUUGGCACACAAAACAGGAACUUAGAAUCAUAUUUUUAAAACAAAAGUUCCACGUUUGGGGGUGGGAAGCAAACUGGCGAUUCUUCCCCAUAAUGUAUAAUAAUGUUUUCCUCUUUAUUCAGUGAAUUGUAAAGCAGGCCAUUCUGGCCUCUUCCCCUGCUGCGUCUGCUUUCAUAAUCAAGUCAGAUGCCUCUGGGGGUUUUAUUUCAUGAUGUCUUCAAAGCACCCCUUUGUAUUCUCAUGCCCACCCUUUGCCAAAACCUGCCCUUUCCUAUCACUACCCCAGAUGAACACCGUUUGCGGCCAGACUGGAGGAGGUUUGUACUAUUUCAGCCUGCAUGCGGCUCCUGUGGAAGGAAUCAUUCUGUUUUACUGAACUUGCUGUGCUGGGGAUGGAGGAGUAGUGCCACCACCUCCCUCCUCCUUUCUUAAGUCAGGUGUGUACGCAGGUCAGAUGAGGUUCCCGGGCUUCCUGUCCUUGCCCUGGACGGGCAGCUCGGUGCCCCCCAGGGCCGUCCCGCUGGAGUGGCAGUCUGCUCCCCCCGUGUGUGCUGCUGUGCUGGGGGUGGAAGAGAGUGGCGCCCAGGCAGUGGCCCAUCACCUCACUGUAGGCCGGGGGUGGCCCCUCCAUCCUCCUGUUACUGCUGCAGGUGCUGGCACUUAUGCCUGAAUUGCUGCUGGGUGGGCGUGGGCCCCCGCUGUAGACGGACACAUCUAUCAAAUCGCUGUCAAAUAUGGUUCGGUUGGGCGGGGCCCUCACAGACUCUCGGUUGAGUUCCAUCUGCUGUUCGGGAUCCCGGAGCUGCAGGGUGCAGGGCCCCUGGUAAGGAGGUGGCUCCUCCCCGUCCGACAGGGAGAUGGUGGGGGGAAGGUCGAUCUCGUGUUGCACGUAGGGGUAGGUGGGCUGGAAUCGGCUGAACCGAUCCCUCUGGAGAAAGGUGGGGGCAGUCCCCCCAUUCCUGGACUGCGGGGCAUACAUGAUCUGCAGGGAAAAGAGCAACACCUGGGAGACGUUCUUGGCACGGUGAUGACCACGGACGUGAUGGCAGCAAGGAAAUUCACGUCUGUUCUCACCCAUCUGAAAACUUUCCCCCCCAAAAAACAUGUAAGGGCUAUUCCAGAAAAGCAGAGGUUUUUCGUUCCUAAUGACUUACAUCACUCACCUUGCCAAACCCAGGAUGGUUCAGCAACGGAUAAUUGCGGUUACCUGAAAAUGUAGGCUUAAUGGAGUUACUGUGUACAUUUCCCACUCGUCAAGGAGAAUACAGGAGCCCCCCACCCCGGCCCGCCCACCAUGUGACCUUCUCCGGGCCCCACUCCUGUGUUUCAGAGGAGUAUAGAGGGUGAAGAAUUUUCAUUGUAAAUGUAAGUUGUAACUUCACAGGAUGGUACUUGGAGCAGGUACAAGACAUUGGGUCAAUUUAUGAGUUAUUUCUAGGAGCUUGUUGCCCUAUCAAUUACUUUAAAAUAUGGAACUGACAUGAAAACUUUUAUAUUCCAAAUUAAGUAUGAUUAUAGAUUUUUUUUUCCCCCAAAAGAAUCCAGGUACUCUCUUUCUUGCAUAACUUCGCAUCUAUAUUCCACCAUCUCACUUUCUUCUAGAGGAAGGACAUAUGUAUAUAAAGAUAUACAUCCGUCAACUUCUCUCACACCAUGUUUUUAACUUAAAGGCAAAAAACGUUAUUUUUACAAUCAUACUAUUAAACUGAGAGAUGGGGUGAAUCAAGCGGUGAUGUUUAUAAGCUACGCUGACACCCACCACCUCAUUGUCAGCAGCCUAAGGCAUCAAGUGAAGAUCCUGGAUUCUCGACCUGUUUUCUGGAAGGAGCUCUGGCCAGGCACAAAGAAUCCUUGGGAGAGUCUAGGGAAGACCCCUCCCCCACCUCUUAAACCAAGUUACAGGCACAGGCCUUGAUCUUCGUCUGUGCUGACACGUUCAACCCUUCCACCAAUUUUGUUCAUCCCCCUUUACGCAUCUCCUGCCACCCACAGCCCGCCUGUGUCCAACCCCUUACCUCUGAGGUGGGCUGAGGUCCAGAUCUGUCUGAAGGCCACAGGCGCCCUUCCUGGUUGGGGGGUGGGGGACAUCACAGGAAGAUCAUUAGUCUCAUUCAGCAGCACCCAAAGCCAAGGGAUCACACUCAGCUGAGCGCAGGCUAUUUAACACCCAGAACAACAAAGCCCCAGCCUUUUGUUACCUACCUGCACUCCCAGAGGAGUCAUGGCCACAGAAAAGUCAAACAGUUCGGGUCUCCCCACAGUAGCCUUGAACGGUGUGCCCAUCCACACCGGUUGGCUUUCAGACUGUUCCCCAAACUACAGAGCCCUCUGUGCAUCUUCUCAUGAAUUGAUUCCUCAGUGCAAAUGCUCAUGAGGAGUGUGGAACCUGACAUCUAGUUGCUUAGUAAUCUUUCAAAAAUGGCCAGGGACUUUCCUGGUGGUGCAGUGGUUAAGACUCCACGCUCCCAUUGCAGGGGGCCUGGGUUCAAUGCCUGGUCAGGGAACUAGAUCCCACAUGCAUGCCACACCUAAGAGUUCGCGUGCCGCAACUAAAGGAGCCUGCAUGCUGCAACUAAGGAGCUGAUGAGCCACAACUAAGACACAGCGCAACCAAAAAAAAAAAAAAACCAGACCAACAAGGUGAUGAGCAAACAGUAGGCAUGAUUAAGGAUCACUUCUAACAAACACCAUAAACUUGUCUACAGAGCAUUUCAGUGUGGUAUCCCUUUUGAACCCCAAUUGUUGGCUAUAGCAGGGUCUGCGGGGCUUUUGUGACUAGUAAGAGAAGAACGGGGUGGGGGGUAGAGAAGUUCCUGUAUUUUUGGAUUCCCAGGAAUGUGCACGUACAACCUCCUGCCAUCAUGGCCUCCUGUGACCUGAAAGUGCCCACCGGUAGACUUGGGAGGUCAAACAGCCCCAGGUCUUCAGAAGUGAAAGCGACCUCCCCUGCUCCUUGCAGGUGGGCAUCCACCAUGGCCCCCCUCGCUGUGAGCAGGUGGCAUCCCUAGAUCUGACUAUACAACUAUGUAACGGCGACAGAGUGGCUCUAACCAGGUGUCCGAGCCCUAGGCAUGCUUCUUUGCGUCAAGGGAGAUGUCACUCCUGCGUUGAGAACAGCACAGAGCAUCCUUCACUAUUCCUAAGAAUUCCACCCUUGGCAACAGCAGAUUAAAGCACAGGGCGCAGCCUGUCACAGCACCAAAUGAAGUGGGCAGGAAGGGACCCAGAAGAGGGGUAGUAGCACGUUUUCUGAAAACGGCAAUAACUAUUCUCAAUGGCUUUAUUUCCCUAGAAAUUAGCAAAACUGGAAAAAUGCCUAGAAGAAAUCCACACCAAGCCUUGCACACACAAUCCUGUAUUUCACCAAAUUCACAUCAACCUACCUGUUUCUAAAUCCACGCGCUUCCCGGCCUCCUCCCAGGCUUCCUGCUGCCCCUCCCCUUGACCCUACCCCUCCUGGUC
This is an RNA transcript of Mesoplodon densirostris (Blainville's beaked whale), 5709 nucleotides long. It is a transcript of the gene named family with sequence similarity 210 member A, with no coding region annotated. The record is from RefSeq and is a predicted model, not a curated record. NCBI's taxonomy places the organism in Eukaryota, Metazoa, Chordata, Mammalia, Artiodactyla, Ziphiidae. The transcript is spliced from 9 exons.